RNAcentral lists this long non-coding RNA (2240 nucleotides) under Triticum aestivum (bread wheat). RNAcentral describes it as "long non-coding RNA (TAES_LNC028355)". The record is from RNAcentral. Lineage: Eukaryota; Viridiplantae; Streptophyta; Magnoliopsida; Poales; Poaceae.
AGGCAGGCAGAGUAGGAAACCAAACAAACGACAUGGAGGGUGGACAUAUACAUAUAUACUUACUACUACUAGAGUCAGUUGGUUUUAGCUAGGAAAGUCAGUCGGUCGGUCUGCGUAGGGAAGGGAAGGACGACACACUCACUGGUGAAGUGAAUUGUACAGUUUUGAUGGCCGCAAACGGGGGAAAUUUUAUAUGUAGGUGCUGACUGACACACAUGGUGGCUUGGCUGCCGGGUGCAUGCAUGGUGCCUUGUGAUUUGGCCAUGCACUCCCUCCCCCGUAUCCGUGUGCUUACCUUACCACCUACUCUAUAUGCAUGAUGAUGAUGAUGAUGAUGAUGAUGACACUGCUACCAGUUACGGAAUGGUGAAUAUAUAUCACACACAUAGAAUCCCUUUAGUUGAGAGGCUUAUUUUUUCUUCUUCUGUUUGAAUUUGAAAGAAAUUUGAUCCUCUGCCAUCAAACACCCCGUAUCGUCUGUACAAAGUUCCAUCUCACCGUUCCAAUUCUCCUUUCGAGAUUCCAGGAUAAUUUAUACUCCUUAUGUAAAGAAAUAUAAGAGCGUUUAGAUCACUACUUUAGUGAUCUAAAUUUUCUUAUAUUUGUUUACGGGGGUGAGAAGUAUCUUAAGUUCGAUUGACCCUUCCCCGACCCUCUCGUCGCCCGAGCCGGGCGACUCGGGGGAAACCUUGCUCGUCGGUGGCCUGCCCCCACCUCCCUCCCACCCCGUGUCGCCGUCGUCAGAGGGCUGGCCGGCAAAGCCGCGCUGUGCCCUGGGAUGGUGGCGGCGGGGCUGCUUCUCUUCCCCUCGCCCCUGCCGUCCACUCCGCCCCCUUCCCCAGAUCCGGACCCUGGCGGCCUCCACCGGUGGCAAGGGCGGCCUCCACCGGCGCGUUGGCUGAUUGGGUCGCAUCCCACGGUUGCGGUUCCUCUGCUGCAGUCUGCCCCGGAUGGGAUCUGGGGCCACCCCUGCCGGUCACGGUACUCCCCGUCCGUCCUUCGUGAUGGUCGGGUGCGCUCAACUCGCUGCGGCUCCCCACCCCCGCUCCCCAACCCUCCCCAUCCCCUGGUUCGGCUUCGGGUCGACUUCUUCGGGAGGCGGCCAUGAAGGUGCCCGGUUUGCCCGACGGCAUCUGCCCCCUGUAGCGCGCCGGGAUGUUUGGUUGCCCGUGAGUCCUCUUCACCACCCACCCACCCCCGGCAGGGGCGGCUUCGGCCCGGCAACCAUGGACCUGCGCCCCUCCUGUGUUUGUGGCCAGCCGGAGCGGAUUCGGAUCCAACGCGCCUUGGAAGUUGCACUCUUUCCGGCUUCUUCAGUUUGUUGACUCCUUGGCAUCUCCGCACCACCAUCACCCUGCUGGCGCCCUUGGUAAUAAUUCUCAUCAAAACCGAUUAUAACCAUCUUAUCUAGAUUUCUUACUAAAGAAAUAGUACUAGUCAUUUAAUGUUUCAAAAAUAUUAAGGAUCUCCUUAUUUAUAAUUGUCUUAUCUAGUAUUUUUACUAGUAAGUAAUAGUAAUCACUUAAUGUUUCCAAAACAAAGAUGUUACCGGGCGCCAGCAGGGUGAAUUAAUGUUUCUCAUCAAAACGCGCCUUAAUGUUUCUCAUCUACACUAUUUAAAAAUACUAGUCAUUUAGUGUACUAGACAAUUAUAAAUAAGGAGAUCCUUAAUAUUUUGGAAACAUUAACCGAUUACUAUUAUUUGACUAAAUCUUGCAUGUAAACAAACUCCUAGGUUCUCCUUUUCUUGGAAACACCUCAUAACUUUAUUCAUACUCGCAACCAUUACAGUACAGUGCUUUGGAUUCAAGAUGCAAAAUCAUACAAAGUAACUCAUAGAACCAAGAAUUACAAGGAGGCCUCUUGGAUACAUCUUCCAGACGGUAUCAAUCUUUGCAAGACGAAAAUUAUCAGUAGUUCAAUAAAAGGAUUGCAAUUGGACUAGAGUUGUGAUAUCGCCACUCAUUCACCUGGACAAACUUGAUCACCAAUAAAGGUUACUGAACCAUAGUAUGCUUCCUAUGAAACCAACUAUGAGCCUAAAACCAGUCUGGUUCCAAGCAAGCGAUCGGGUAGUUUAAUCCCUAUCGCCCCCUUUAAUCUCUCACUGAAUGCAGUUAACCUCGAUCCUUGGCCAUCGGGUUAGCCCCAAUUCAUUGUCUUGGCCAUCGGGUUACCGUAUGCUUACCCUUACCAUCUAUAUGCAUGAUGAUGAUGACAUCGCUACCAGUUACGGAAUG